This 177-nucleotide unclassified non-coding RNA is filed under the name uncultured fungus. RNAcentral's name for it is "sequence contains ITS1". The record is from RNAcentral. Lineage: Eukaryota; Fungi.
UUAACUAUUUGCUUUUACUUCAGGCCGCAUGGUUGUUCAGGGUUGUGUUCGGCAGGGGCCCCGGUCAGGAUGCCCCAUUUGCGCCAAAGGUUGUGUGGUUGCAAGCGGAGGGUUGGUGCCGGGCGCCGGAGCGCCCGUGACCCAGUAAUGAUCCUUCCGCAGGUUCACCUACGGAAA